ACUCAGCUGGAGUACAUUGAUGCCAUCACCGCUUACUUGCAGCCUCUCAAACUCCUCAGCUUAAUCAGCAAUCCUUCCACUUUGUCUUCCCAAGUAGCAGGGACUACAGGUGCGCACCAGCACACCCGGCUGAUUUUUUUUUUUUUUUUUUAACAGACAGGGUUUCACUAUGUUGCCCAGGCUAGUCUCAAACUCCUGGGCUCAAGCAAUCCUCCUGUCUUGGCCUCCCAAAGUGUCAUGUCACUACAGGGCCAAGAUCAGCCUCUCUUGCCUGGAUCACAGUAGGGGCCUGAGUGAUUCUUCUGAGUCCAGAUCAAAUCUUGUUACUUUUUUUUUUUUUUUUUUUUUUUUUUGAGACAGAGUUUCGCUCUGUCGCCCAGGCUGGAGUGCAGUGGCGCAAACUCGAGUCUCAGGAUUAGGCCAUUUAACUUACUGGGCCCAGGUGGCAUGUUGCCUGCACGGUGGCCUGGUCCUUGAGCAGGAGGAGGCCGGGAAUGAACCAUUUUCUAAUCAGAUAAGUCCCUGCACUUCUCAGGAGUGGAAGAGUCCCAGAGUUAACUCAUCGAUCCCCUCACAGGCGAAGCGGGGAAGAAGCACUUCUCACUAACAGGCUUCUCAAAAACUCUUCUUCCCUGUAGUGAUUGUUUCAAUAUUAAUAAGAAGAAGCUGUUCUUUCUACAAAUAGGUUAACUACUGGAAAUUUAAUAGAGUAUUUAUUUAAUUCAAGGAGCUAAACAUCUUACCCUUCCUUCAUAUGAACAUUGAUAUUUAGAAUAUAUUUAUUGACAAAAUGAUAAAACAAGAA
RNAcentral lists this long non-coding RNA (805 nucleotides) under Homo sapiens (human). RNAcentral describes it as "non-protein coding lnc-SIPA1L2-3:3". Lineage: Eukaryota; Metazoa; Chordata; Mammalia; Primates; Hominidae. The record is from RNAcentral.